This 530-nucleotide ribosomal RNA is filed under the name Paecilomyces maximus. RNAcentral describes it as "partial large subunit ribosomal RNA". It matches the Rfam family "Eukaryotic large subunit ribosomal RNA", at positions 77 to 610 of the family's 3401-position model. Lineage: Eukaryota; Fungi; Ascomycota; Eurotiomycetes; Eurotiales; Thermoascaceae. The record is from RNAcentral.
GCCCUAGUAACGGCGAGUGAAGCGGCAAGAGCUCAAAUUUGAAAUCUGGCUCCUCCGGGGUCCGAGUUGUAAUUUGCAGAGGAUGCUUCGGGUGCGGUCCCCGUCUAAGUACCCUGGAAUGGGUCGUCAUAGAGGGUGAGAAUCCCGUCUGGGACGGGUGGCCGUGUCCGUGUGAAGCUCCUUCGACGAGUCGAGUUGUUUGGGAAUGCAGCUCUAAAUGGGUGGUAAAUUUCAUCUAAAGCUAAAUAUUGGCCGGAGACCGAUAGCGCACAAGUAGAGUGAUCGAAAGAUGAAAAGCACUUUGAAAAGAGAGUUAAACAGCACGUGAAAUUGUUGAAAGGGAAGCGCUUGCGACCAGACUCGCCCGCGGGGGUUCAGCCGGUACUCGUACCGGUGUACUCCCCCGUGGGCGGGCCAGCGUCGGUUUGGGCGGCCGGUCAAAGGCCUCCGGAAUGUAUCGCCCUUCGGGGCGUCUUAUAGCCGGGGGUGCAAUGCGGCCAGCCUGGACCGAGGAACGCGCUUCGGCUCGG